UAAGUCCACAAGGAGGAUAGCCUAGCUUCUCCCAAUUGAAAAAUUCCAUGAAUUCUUUAUAUGGGAACAAAAUCUGAAAAUCAAGGACAACCCAAUGUCAAAAUAUAACUCAUAAUUUCUUAAUAUUUUGAUAAAAAUAACACAUAAGUGUGAUGCGAGGAUAUCACCUUUCUAGUGAAAGUUAUAUUUGAUGAUAAAUUUAAUACAAUAUGUAAAGGUUAUGUACAAAGUUGUUAUUAAAUCAUGAUGAUUUUAUAAACCAAAUAUGGAAAUAAACUAAAAUUAACCCAACAUUUAUAUAACAUGAAUUGCAGAUAACUUAUCACAUCAGCUAGCCAUCGGUACACCCUGCAAUGGAAGAGAAUGGUCAGCAGCUAAUGGGCAUUCUAGAUCAGCAAGCAAUUCUGGAGUACUUCCAGAACUUCUGAUUCGUCAAAUCCAUUCUUUCAUUCAGUAAAAAGGUGGGAGCUCAACUUCAGCCAGCAUAGUGGAUCACUUCAAAGACAGGACAUCUUCAAAAGAUUUGCCUUUGUUCAAGAAUCUUCUCAAGGAGAGAGCUUUAUUGGAGAAAAACCCCACUGGAUCAUAUUGGGUUAUGAAGCCAGAAUAUCAUGAUCAAUAAUAUCUUGUGGAGAAAAACCCCACAAGAAUUUUACACUACACUGGAUCGAAUAGUUGGUAUGCAUUGGUAUAUUUGAAUAAAAAAUUAAAACACAGUAAAACUUCUGUCACCGAAAAUCUCACGCAAUAAAAUACAAUCAACAAUUCAGCAACACAACCAACGAUUCAGCAAGAAUAGAUUCUACCACACGUUUAGUUCAAUGUUAUUUCAUCAAAAAAUUAUCAGGUAAUAAAUGGAAUGUGUAUAUCAUAAAGAACAUACCUCAAAAAUUGAAUAUUGAUAAACCCGAAGAUGACGGUGAAGGAGAAUCGAACGUUGAGACAACGAUGAAAUCCGAAACCUCAAAGUGGGUGGUUGACGAAUGUAUGGCGAUUGCGUCGCGUUCGAUUGAUUCGUAUAUGAUUCAAAGAGAAAUUAAACAUAUGUUUAGAAGAGCAAUUAAUGGGCGGCAAUUGAUGGGUGGGAAAGAGUGAAGAAAAUUCUGAAAUCAAGGCAUAUUUUGGAAGAGCAAUUAACGGGGGCAAUUGAUUGAUGGAAAAGAGAGAAGAAAAUGUAAGGAAUUAUGUGAUGCUGUGGCAAGAGAGAAGAUAACUGCUGAAUCUAAAGGCAUACAAUGUAGAAUUCAAAGAGAAGAAAAUACAGGAUUGUGGGAGUGCCAUGUAGGAGAGAGAAUCACUAUGGAGGUUGCAAUAUGUAUUGCUUUAUAGAAUUGAUAGAU
RNAcentral lists this long non-coding RNA (1340 nucleotides) under Salvia miltiorrhiza (redroot sage). RNAcentral's name for it is "long non-coding RNA (SMIL_LNC006230)". The record is from RNAcentral. Lineage: Eukaryota; Viridiplantae; Streptophyta; Magnoliopsida; Lamiales; Lamiaceae.